RNAcentral lists this ribosomal RNA (460 nucleotides) under uncultured bacterium. Its description in RNAcentral is "partial 16S ribosomal RNA". It matches the Rfam family "Bacterial small subunit ribosomal RNA", at positions 338 to 795 of the family's 1533-position model. The record is from RNAcentral.
CCUACGGGUGGCAGCAGUGAGGAAUAUUGGUCAAUGGACGAGAGUCUGAACCAGCCAAGUAGCGUGAAGGAUGACUGCCCUAUGGGUUGUAAACUUCUUUUAUAUGGGAAUAAAAUGUUCCACGUGUGGGAUUUUGUAUGUACCAUAUGAAUAAGGAUCGGCUAACUCCGUGCCAGCAGCCGCGGUAAUACGGAGGAUCCGAGCGUUAUCCGGAUUUAUUGGGUUUAAAGGGAGCGUAGGUGGAUUGUUAAGUCAGUUGUGAAAGUUUGCGGCUCAACCGUAAAAUUGCAGUUGAAACUGGCAGUCUUGAGUACAGUAGAGGUGGGCGGAAUUCGUGGUGUAGCGGUGAAAUGCGUAGAUAUCACGAAGAACGCCGAUUGCGAAGGCAGUUCACUGGACUGCAACUGACACUGAGGCUCGAAAGUGUGGGUAUCAAACAGGAUUAGAUACCCCAGUAGUC